UUGUCGUCAGCUCGUGUCGUGAGAUGUUGGGUUAAGUCCCGCAACGAGCGCAACCCUUAUUGCUAGUUACCAUCAUUGAUUGGGGACUCUAGCGAGACUGCCAGCGAUAAGCUGGAGGAAGGUGGGGAUGACGUCAAAUCAUCAUGCCCCUUAUGACCUGGGCUACAAACGUGAUACAAUGGCUGGAACAAAGGGAGGCGAAGGGGUGACCUGGAGCGAAACCCAAAAAUACAGUCUCAGUUCGGAUUGAAGUCUGCAACUCGACUUCAUGAAGUCGGAAUCGCUAGUAAUCGCGGAUCAGAACGCCGCGGUGAAUACGUUCUCGGGGUUU
This 331-nucleotide ribosomal RNA is filed under the name uncultured Acholeplasma sp. RNAcentral's name for it is "bacterial SSU rRNA". It matches the Rfam family "Bacterial small subunit ribosomal RNA", at positions 1049 to 1382 of the family's 1533-position model. The record is from RNAcentral. Lineage: Bacteria; Bacillati; Mycoplasmatota; Mollicutes; Acholeplasmatales; Acholeplasmataceae.